GGCGGCGUGGCCCAAUGGAUAGGGCGUCUGACUUCGGAUCAGAAGGUUGUGGGUUCGAGUCCCAUCGUCGUCA
Molecule: non-coding RNA, 73 nt
Organism: Eimeria necatrix
Lineage: Eukaryota; Apicomplexa; Conoidasida; Eucoccidiorida; Eimeriidae
Source: Rfam